This 299-nucleotide ribosomal RNA is filed under the name uncultured bacterium. RNAcentral's name for it is "partial 16S ribosomal RNA". It matches the Rfam family "Bacterial small subunit ribosomal RNA", at positions 567 to 863 of the family's 1533-position model. The record is from RNAcentral.
GUUCGCAGGCGGAAUUUUAAGUCAGUGGUGAAAGCCUAUAGCUCAACUAUAGAACUGCCAYUGAUACUGAUAUUCUUGAGUGUAGAUGAAGUGGGCGGAAUAUGUCAUGUAGCGGUGAAAUGCAUAGAUAUGACAUGGAACACCAAUUGCGAAGGCAGCUCACUAAACUAUUACUGACGCUCAUGAACGAAAGCGAUGGGGAGCGAACAGGAUUAGAUACCCUGGUAGUCCCACUGCAUGUAAACGUAUGAUCACUAGAUGUGGGCGAUACMHUGUCCAGGUCKAAGCGAAAKCGUUAA